Long non-coding RNA from Oreochromis aureus, 1293 nucleotides. RefSeq lists it as uncharacterized. NCBI's taxonomy places the organism in Eukaryota, Metazoa, Chordata, Actinopteri, Cichliformes, Cichlidae. The transcript is spliced from 3 exons. The record is from RefSeq and is a predicted model, not a curated record.
UCCGCCUGCCUGAAAAACUGCUGACUGUCUUGUUUUUCCCUCCCAGCUCUGAGUUGAAUUACAUAAAAAACAGGUGCCGUUAGUGAAUCAGCGUAUCUGUAAUCGGUGAAUCUGUCCCAUUUGUGGCUCAUGCAACAUUUCAUGCAGUCAUCUCCUCAUCAGUGUGCCCACAGCCUUGUUAAACCCUCCAAAGCCCGACCAUCAGAGCCAUGUGCCAGCUCCAGCCUCCAUUCCUCACCAGCUACUGUGCAAAUCCCCCUCCUAGAAAGCAACUCUGCAACUCAGUUUAUAAUAAACCUCAGGGUCCAGCUUUUAUAUUCUUAACAGACGCUCUACAUUUGGUGCUGUUCAUGGAAGAAGAGAUCGCUAAUCAAAGUGGAAAUCUAGUCAAACAAAAACUACUUUAACUUUACUUUUCUUGUUUGUCUGGGGUUUUUUUCUUCAAUUUUAACCACCAUAAAACCACAAAUAUGUAUUAGCUAGCUGGCAUUACCAGAAUUUAGAGCAUUAAGCUUGAGUAGCAUCCAUCCAUCUAUUACUGCUUAUCUGGGUUUGGAUCACAGUCUAAGGAGAGAUGCCCGGACCUCCUGCACCUAGAUCAACUCCUGCAGCUCAACCCGAGGGAGGGACACCAAGGUUUUCUCAGCUGAGAGGCAUAAUCUCUCAGCAUGCCCUGAGUCUGCCCCUAGGCCUCCUCCCACAACAGGACAGAUCAGGAGCUGGAGUAAACCAAGGCAGAGUGGGAGACCUGAAGAUGGUGGAGGGUUGACAGACGGUUCCAGCAGACCUGCACGUCUCAUUAGUCUUAAUCAUGUAGACUUUGGGGGUUUGUGUAGGUUUGUGCAGAUGGUGCAGGAACACUUGAAUGUUUGCUUUUAGGGAUUUUUGUAGUUACCACAAAAAAGUCAAAGUGAAAUUCCAGAUAAAGGUGCAGCUGUCUGCGUUGUCGGUUUCAGUUAGUGAAAUCUUAAAACUUAGCAAUGUAAUAACUUGAUUGUUGUAAUGAUACUACAACAUGAUUAGGUAAAAAGUAGUAUGUCUUCAGCCUCUCGAUUCAUAUUUAGCAGGCAAAGUGAAAAAAUGAAUAAAAUAAUUCAGUUAAUUAAUACUGUGAAAUCAUUUUGACAACUUGGCUCACCGGUGCACUGAAUGUGAUGACCUGUAGAAAUGAACAUUUUAAAAUAAUAAAAGAAAAAGAAAGAAGAAACAAAGUCAGAGUGAAACUGUGGCUGAAAGUGCAGCUUGUAAAUUUAGCACUACUUUGCAGCCAAACUGUAAAUGUCAGAUGUUGAA